CUGGAUAAAAUUAUUCCAUCUCAGUCCUUAUAAAGAGACAGGUAACUCAUGACUGCUCAGCAGAGACGUCCACAUCACCUCUAGAUCUCACAGUGCUCACUUUGCUGUCUGUGACACCAGUUUUUUUUGGGGGUUCUUACAAACAAGCUGCAGAAAGGAUGAAGGCUGUUAUGAUCUUUCUGCUGUUGACGCUCGUCAAUGUCGUCCUCACGGAUGAACCCGAGGAGAAUCGUGAAAUUAAUCGAGGAAUCCCAUACUUAAUUGGAGGUAUAAGGUAUUUCAGUACGCCCCAAGUUGAAGUGGCUGAAGACAGACUGAGGCGAUACUAUGAAGAAUGAGUCUGUUCUUGAUUUUGAAGAUAUAGUUUGAGCUAUAUCUUUGUGCUUUGCAAAGAAACAAAUAAUUAGAUGAGUAAACAUGAAGCUCUUGAGAUGUUGUGAUUUUAGUCACAGCUCCAACUGAUGUUGAAAAAAGUAAAACUGCUUGAUAGUGAAAACUAUCCUGCUGAAUAAAGCUGCAUUCCAAAAGACCG
Long non-coding RNA from Acanthopagrus latus (yellowfin seabream), 532 nucleotides. RefSeq lists it as uncharacterized. The transcript has 4 exons. The record is from RefSeq and is a predicted model, not a curated record. NCBI's taxonomy places the organism in Eukaryota, Metazoa, Chordata, Actinopteri, Spariformes, Sparidae.